AACGCUGGCGGCGUGCUUAACACAUGCAAGUCGAGCGAAGCACCUAAGAAAGAUUCUUCGGAUGAAUUCUUUUGUGACUGAGCGGCGGACGGGUGAGUAACGCGUGGGUAACCUGCCUCAUACAGGGGGAUAACAGUUAGAAAUGACUGCUAAUACCGCAUAAGACCACGGUACCGCAUGGUACAGUGGUAAAAACUCCGGUGGUAUGAGAUGGACCCGCGUCUGAUUAGCUAGUUGGUGGGGUAACGGCCUACCAAGGCGACGAUCAGUAGCCGACCUGAGAGGGUGACCGGCCACAUUGGGACUGAGACACGGCCCAAACUCCUACGGGAGGCAGCAGUGGGGAAUAUUGCACAAUGGGGGAAACCCUGAUGCAGCGACGCCGCGUGAAGGAUGAAGUAUUUCGGUAUGUAAACUUCUAUCAGCAGGGAAGAAAAUGACGGUACCUGACUAAGAAGCCCCGGCUAACUACGUGCCAGCAGCCGCGGUAAUACGUAGGGGGCAAGCGUUAUCCGGAUUUACUGGGUGUAAAGGGAGCGUAGACGGCAUUGCAAGCCAGAUGUGAAAGCCCGGGGCUCAACCCCGGGACUGCAUUUGGAACUGUAGAGCUAGAGUGUCGGAGAGGCAAGUGGAAUUCCUAGUGUAGCGGUGAAAUGCGUAGAUAUUAGGAGGAACACCAGUGGCGAAGGCGGCUUGCUGGACGAUGACUGACGUUGAGGCUCGAAAGCGUGGGGAGCAAACAGGAUUAGAUACCCUGGUAGUCCACGCCGUAAACGAUGACUACUAGGUGUCGGGUAGCAAAGCUAUUCGGUGCCGCAGCAAACGCAAUAAGUAGUCCACCUGGGGAGUACGUUCGCAAGAAUGAAACUCAAAUGAAUU
This 879-nucleotide ribosomal RNA is filed under the name uncultured bacterium. Its description in RNAcentral is "bacterial SSU rRNA". It matches the Rfam family "Bacterial small subunit ribosomal RNA", at positions 32 to 911 of the family's 1533-position model. The record is from RNAcentral.